This 427-nucleotide ribosomal RNA is filed under the name uncultured bacterium. RNAcentral's name for it is "bacterial SSU rRNA". It matches the Rfam family "Bacterial small subunit ribosomal RNA", at positions 355 to 774 of the family's 1533-position model. The record is from RNAcentral.
UAGGGAAUAUUGGACAAUGGGGGCAACCCUGAUCCAGCCAUGCCGCGUGAGUGAAGAAGGCCCUCGGGUUGUAAAGCUCUUUUGUCCGGAAAGAAAAGCAUUCGGUGAAUACCCGGAUGUUCUGACGGUACCGGAAGAAUAAGCACCGGCUAACUUCGUGCCAGCAGCCGCGGUAAUACGAAGGGUGCAAGCGUUACUCGGAAUUACUGGGCGUAAAGCGUGCGUAGGUGGUUGUUUAAGUCUGAUGUGAAAGCCCUGGGCUCAACCUGGGAAUGGCAUUGGAAACUGGGCAGCGAGAGUGCGGUAGAGGGUAGUGGAAUUCCCGGUGUAGCAGUGAAAUGCGUAGAGAUCGGGAGGAACAUCUGUGGCGAAGGCGACUGCCUGGACCAGCACUGACACUGAGGCACGAAAGCGUGGGGAGCAAACA